This 501-nucleotide ribosomal RNA is filed under the name uncultured bacterium. Its description in RNAcentral is "partial 16S ribosomal RNA". It matches the Rfam family "Bacterial small subunit ribosomal RNA", at positions 30 to 523 of the family's 1533-position model. The record is from RNAcentral.
AUUGAACGCUGGCGGCAGGCUUAACACAUGCAAGUCGAGCGGGGGAAGGUAGCUUGCUACCGGACCUAGCGGCGGACGGGUGAGUAAUGCUUAGGAAUCUGCCUAUUAGUGGGGGACAACAUCUCGAAAGGGAUACUGAUACCGCAUACGUCCUACGGGAGAAAGCAGGGGAUCUUCGGACCUUGCGCUAAUAGAUGAGCCUAAGUCGGAUUAGCUAGUUGGUGGGGUAAAGGCCUACCAAGGCGACGAUCUGUAGCGGGUCUGAGAGGAUGAUCCGCCACACUGGGACUGAGACACGGCCCAGACUCCUACGGGAGGCAGCAGUGGGGAAUAUUGGACAAUGGGGGGAACCCUGAUCCAGCCAUGCCGCGUGUGUGAAGAAGGCCUUAUGGUUGUAAAGCACUUUAAGCGAGGAGGAGGCUACUCUAGUUAAUACCUAGGGAUAGUGGACGUUACUCGCAGAAUAAGCACCGGCCAACUCUGUGCCAGCCGCCGCCGUAA